ACCUGCUUCUGCCAGGAGCUGAAAUUCGUCUACCUGACAUCAGACAGCCGCCAGCUCCACACCGAGAUCUACAACAAAGACCUCCAGGAGGGAAUGCAGCUCUCUUUGACGAAGGUCGCCCAGGAGGGUGAAAAGGAGUGUGACCCACUGUGGGCUGCCUUCCUGAGGGCAGGGGACAUUGAUCCUCCAGCUGCCUCUUCUCCUCCUUCGUACUCAGCAGGGCUGCA
Molecule: long non-coding RNA, 227 nt
Filed under: Chrysolophus pictus (golden pheasant)
Lineage: Eukaryota; Metazoa; Chordata; Aves; Galliformes; Phasianidae
Description: lncRNA (ENSCPIG00010010441.1)
Source: RNAcentral